RNAcentral lists this transfer RNA (66 nucleotides) under Mendozellus isis. Its description in RNAcentral is "tRNA-Ser". Lineage: Eukaryota; Metazoa; Arthropoda; Insecta; Hemiptera; Cicadellidae. The record is from RNAcentral.
AAGUUGUUAAAUAACUCUUUCUUAUAUUUUCAAAAUAUAUGCUUUAGAAUAUAUAAGCUAAACAAC